RNAcentral lists this ribosomal RNA (707 nucleotides) under Fomitopsis pinicola. RNAcentral describes it as "eukaryotic LSU rRNA". The stretch from base 288 to 441 matches the Rfam family "5.8S ribosomal RNA". Lineage: Eukaryota; Fungi; Basidiomycota; Agaricomycetes; Polyporales; Fomitopsidaceae. The record is from RNAcentral.
CUUGGUCAUUUAGAGGAAGUAAAAGUCGUAACAAGGUUUCCGUAGGUGAACCUGCGGAAGGAUCAUUAAUGAAUUCUGAGAGGGGUUGUAGCUGGCCGUUUCGUUUGAGCGGCAUGUGCACGCCCUGAUCAUUAUCCAUCUCACACACCUGUGCACAUACUGUAGGUCGGCUUUUGAUUGGAGUGGGGUCUUCAUCGACUCUGCUUUUUAGUUGGGGCCUUCCUAUGUUUUAUCACACACUACUUCAGUUUAAAGAAUGUCCUCUUGCGUCUAACGCAUUUAAAUACAACUUUCAGCAACGGAUCUCUUGGCUCUCGCAUCGAUGAAGAACGCAGCGAAAUGCGAUAAGUAAUGUGAAUUGCAGAAUUCAGUGAAUCAUCGAAUCUUUGAACGCACCUUGCGCUCCUUGGUAUUCCGAGGAGCAUGCCUGUUUGAGUGUCAUGGAAUUCUCAACUCUAUUUGCUUUUGUGAAUAGAGCUUGGACUUGGAGGUUUAUUGCCGGUACCUGUGAUCGGCUCCUCUUGAAUGCAUUAGCUCGAACCUUUCCUUUUGUGGAUCAGCUUAUCGGUGUGAUAAAAUGUCUACGCCGUUACUGUGAAGCAUAUUAUUCGGCUUCCAAUCGUCCUUCACGGGACAAUAACUUUGACCUUUGACCUCAAAUCAGGUAGGAUUACCCGCUGAACUUAAGCAUAUCAAUAAGCGGAGGA